This 76-nucleotide non-coding RNA is filed under the name Methylophaga sulfidovorans. RNAcentral's name for it is "GEMM cis-regulatory element". It matches the Rfam family "c-di-GMP-I riboswitch aptamer". From Rfam's summary of the family: GEMM was predicted in a large-scale screen for bacterial structured RNA regulatory elements. The record is from RNAcentral. Lineage: Bacteria; Pseudomonadati; Pseudomonadota; Gammaproteobacteria; Thiotrichales; Piscirickettsiaceae.
UGAAUUUUAAGCCAACUUUGGUGUGAGCCAUGUGACGGAAAGCCACGGAUCUUUUUAAGAUGGCCGGGUUGCAUAG